Molecule: ribosomal RNA, 785 nt
Filed under: uncultured Neocallimastigales
Lineage: Eukaryota; Fungi; Neocallimastigomycota; Neocallimastigomycetes; Neocallimastigales
Description: partial large subunit ribosomal RNA
Rfam family: Eukaryotic large subunit ribosomal RNA
Source: RNAcentral
CGUCUAUAUACGUAUAGCAUAUCAAUAAGCGGAGGAAAAGAAACUAACAAGGAUUCCCUUAGUAACGGCGAGUGAAGCGGGAAGAGCUCAAAUUUGAAAUCUUCAAGGUUUUACCUUGACGAAUUGUAGUUUAAAGAAGUGUUUUCUGUUGGAGUUUUGGUAAAAGUUCUUUGGAAUAGGACAUCAUAGAGGGCGAGAAUCCCGUAUUUGACCAUUAUUUCCAACUUUGUGAUACACUUUCAAAGAGUCGGAUUGUUUGGGAAUGCAGUCCAAAAUGGGUGGUAAAUUUCAUCUAAAGCUAAAUAUUGGCGAGAGACCGAUAGCGAACAAGUACCGUGAGGGAAAGAUGAAAAGAACUUUGAAAAGAGAGUUAAACAGUACGUGAAAUUGUCAAAAGGGAAGCGUUUGACACCAGUGUUGUUUUUCCGAAAAUCAAUUAUGAAUGGCUUUAUUUUGAGGAGUUCAUGACCUUAAUAGCUUGUUGCUUAUUUUCUAUGGAACUUUCUUAAUGCACUUUUCGGUUAACAAGUCAACAUCAAUUUCUUUUGUUGUAAAAGAGUUAUGAGGAAGGUGGCUUUACUUUCGGAGUAAAGUGUUUAUAGCCUUUUAGCUCUGCAAUCGGAGAGAUUGAGGAUCUGCAGCGUAGAUCCUCGGGGUUAGAUAGCAUUUGUGCUAAGUUAUAGCAAGUUUCAUAGACAACUUGUUGACUAAUGCUUAGUCUUGUAGACUUACUCGCAGUACGCUAUUUUACCUACGCUUAGGAUGUUGACACACGCGCGUGCUCG